AUACGGAGGGUGCGAGCGUUAAUCAGAAUUACUGGGCGUAAAGCGUGCGUAGGCGGUUUGCUAAGUCAGAUGUGAAAGCCCCGGGCUUAACCUGGGAACUGCAUUUGAUACUGGCAGACUAGAGUAUGAUAGAGGGGGGUAGAAUUCCUGGUGUAGCGGUGAAAUGCGUAGAUAUCAGGAGGAAUACCAGUGGCGAAGGCGGCCCCCUGGAUCAAUACUGACGCUGAGGUACGAAAGCGUGGGGAGCGAACAGGAUUAGAAACCCCAGUAGUCC
RNAcentral lists this ribosomal RNA (274 nucleotides) under uncultured bacterium. Its description in RNAcentral is "partial 16S ribosomal RNA". It matches the Rfam family "Bacterial small subunit ribosomal RNA", at positions 523 to 796 of the family's 1533-position model. The record is from RNAcentral.